RNAcentral lists this ribosomal RNA (497 nucleotides) under uncultured bacterium. RNAcentral describes it as "partial 16S ribosomal RNA". It matches the Rfam family "Bacterial small subunit ribosomal RNA", at positions 28 to 507 of the family's 1533-position model. The record is from RNAcentral.
GAUGAACGCUGGCGGCGUGCCUAAUACAUGCAAGUCGAGCGAACAGACGAGGAGCUUGCUCCUCUGACGUUAGCGGCGGACGGGUGAGUAACACGUGGAUAACCUACCUAUAAGACUGGGAUAACUUCGGGAAACCGGAGCUAAUACCGGAUAAUAUAUUGAACCGCAUGGUUCAAUAGUGAAAGACGGUUUUGCUGUCACUUAUAGAUGGAUCCGCGCCGCAUUAGCUAGUUGGUAAGGUAACGGCUUACCAAGGCAACGAUGCGUAGCCGACCUGAGAGGGUGAUCGGCCACACUGGAAGUGAGACACGGUACAGACUCCUACGGGAGGCAGCAGUAGGGAAUCUUCCGCAAUGGGCGAAAGCUUGACGGAGCAACGCCGCGUGAGUGAUGAAGGUCUUCGGAUCGUAAAACUCUGUUAUUAGGGAAGAACAAAUGUGUAAGUAACUAUGCACGUCUUGACGGUACCUAAUCAGAAAGCCACGGCUAACUACGUG